This 1597-nucleotide ribosomal RNA is filed under the name Chaetothyriales sp. MP-2014. Its description in RNAcentral is "eukaryotic LSU rRNA". The stretch from base 678 to 1597 matches the Rfam family "Eukaryotic large subunit ribosomal RNA", at positions 1 to 941 of the family's 3401-position model. The record is from RNAcentral. Lineage: Eukaryota; Fungi; Ascomycota; Eurotiomycetes; Chaetothyriales.
AUGGCUCAGUGAGGCCUUGGGACUGGCUCAGAGAGGUCGGCAACGACCACUCAGAGCCGGAAACUUGGUCAAACUUGGUCAUUUAGAGGAAGUAAAAGUCGUAACAAGGUUUCCGUAGGUGAACCUGCGGAAGGAUCAUUAACGAGUUAGGGUCUCCUAGGCCCGACCUCCCAACCCUUUGUUUAAUAGACCUCUGUUGCUUCGGCGGACCCGUCUCACUGACCGCCGGAGGACCGCCUAUCCGGCGUCCUCUGGCCAGUGUCCGCCGACAGCCUAUCUUCUUAACUCUGGAACAACCGUGACAUGUGUCUAAGUGAAUUUAUUCAAUUAAAAGCAAAAACUUUCAACAACGGAUCUCUUGGUUCUGGCAUCGAUGAAGAACGCAGCGAAAUGCGAUAAGUAAUGCGAAUUGCAGAAUUCCAGUGAGUCAUCGAAUCUUUGAACGCACAUUGCGCCCUUUGGUAUUCCGAAGGGCAUGCCUGUUCGAGCGUCAUUAUCACCCCCUCAAGCCUUGUGCUUGGUGUUGGACGGUAUGGUGGACUCCUUCACCCGUCCUAAAGACAAUGACGGCGGCCUCGCGGAACCCCCGGUACACUGAGCUUCUUAACUGAGCACGUAUCGGAUCAAGGGCGCCCGGGGCACGGUCCUCUUCCCCUCGGGGAAAAUUUUCUCAAGGUUGACCUCGGAUCAGGUAGGAAUACGCGCUGAACUUAAGCAUAUCAAUAAGCGCAGGAAAAGAAACCAACAGGGAUUGCCUCAGUAACGGCGAGUGAAGCGGCAACAGCUCAAAUUUGAAAUCUGGCCUCUUGGGGUCCGAGUUGUAAUUUGUAGAGGAUGUUUCGGGUACCGCCUCGGUUUAAAUUUCUUGGAACAGAAUGUCAAAGAGGGUGAGAAUCCCGUCUUGGACCGGUGGUAGGGCCUAUGUGAAACUCCUUCGACGAGUCGAGUUGUUUGGGAAUGCAGCUCAAAAUGGGUGGUAAAUUUCAUCUAAAGCUAAAUAUUGGCCAGAGACCGAUAGCGCACAAGUAGAGUGAUCGAAAGAUGAAAAGCACUUUGAAAAGAGAGUUAAACAGUAUGUGAAAUUGUUGAAAGGGAAGCGCUUGCAACCAGACUUGAGCGCGGCGGUUCCCCCUUGCUUCUGCUUGGGCUACUCCGCCGUGUCCAGGCCAACAUCGGUUCUGGGGGUCGGUUAAAGGCCUUGGGAAUGUAUCUACUCACGGGUAGACUUAUAGACCAGGGUGUCAUGCGACCUCCCGGGACCGAGGAACGCGCUUCGGCUCGGAUGUUGGCGUAAUGGUUGUCAGCGACCCGUCUUGAAACACGGACCAAGGAGUCUAACAUCUAUGCGAGUGUUUGGGUGUCAAACCCGGAACGCGGAAUGAAAGUGAACGGAGGUAGGAAGCUUCGGCUGCACUAUCGACCGAUCCUGAAGUUUACGGAUGGAUUUGAGUAAGAGCAUAGCUGUUGGGACCCGAAAGAUGGUGAACUAUGCCUGAAUAGGGUGAAGCCAGAGGAAACUCUGGUGGAGGCUCGCAGCGGUUCUGACGUGCAAAUCGAUCGUCAAAUUUGGGUAUAGGGGCGAAAGACUAAUCGAACC